UUAAGCGACUAAGCGUACACGGUGGAUGCCUAGGCAGUCAGAGGCGAUGAAGGGCGUGCUAAUCUGCGAAAAGCGUCGGUAAGGUGAUAUGAACCGUUAUAACCGACGAUACCCGAAUGGGGAAACCCAGUGCAAUUCGUUGCACUAUUGCAUGGUGAAUACAUAGCCAUGCAAGGCGAACCGGGGGAACUGAAACAUCUAAGUACCCCGAGGAAAAGAAAUCAACCGAGAUUCCCCCAGUAGCGGCGAGCGAACGGGGAGGAGCCCAGAACCUGAAUCAGCAUAUGUGUUAGUGGAAGCGUCUGGAAAGUCGCACGGUACAGGGUGAUAGUCCCGUACACAAAAAUGCAUAUGUUGUGAGUUCGAUGAGUAGGGCGGGACACGUGACAUCCUGUCUGAAUAUGGGGGGACCAUCCUCCAAGGCUAAAUACUCCUGACUGACCGAUAGUGAACCAGUACCGUGAGGGAAAGGCGAAAAGAACCCCGGCGAGGGGAGUGAAAUAGAACCUGAAACCGUGUACGUACAAGCAGUGGGAGCACCUUCGUGGUGUGACUGCGUACCUUUUGUAUAAUGGGUCAGCGACUUAUAUUUUGUAGCAAGGUUAACCGAAUAGGGGAGCCGUAGGGAAACCGAGUCUUAACUGGGCGAAUAGUUGCAAGGUAUAGACCCGAAACCCGGUGAUCUAGCCAUGGGCAGGUUGAAGGUUGGGUAACACUAACUGGAGGACCGAACCGACUAAUGUUGAAAAAUUAGCGGAUGACUUGUGGCUGGGGGUGAAAGGCCAAUCAAACCGGGAGAUAGCUGGUUCUCCCCGAAAGCUAUUUAGGUAGCGCCUCGUGAACUCAUCUUCGGGGGUAGAGCACUGUUUCGGCUAGGGGGUCAUCCCGACUUACCAAACCGAUGCAAACUCCGAAUACCGAAGAAUGUUAUCACGGGAGACACACGGCGGGUGCUAACGUCCGUCGUGAAGAGGGAAACAACCCAGACCGCCAGCUAAGGUCCCAAAGUCAUGGUUAAGUGGGAAACGAUGUGGGAAGGCAUAGACAGCCAGGAUGUUGGCUUAGAAGCAGCCAUCAUUUAAAGAAAGCGUAAUAGCUCACUGGUCGAGUCGGCCUGCGCGGAAGAUGUAACGGGGCUAAACCAUGCACCGAAGCUGCGGCAGCGACACUUAGGUGUUGUUGGGUAGGGGAGCGUUCUGUAAGCCGUUGAAGGUGACCUGUGAGGGUUGCUGGAGGUAUCAGAAGUGCGAAUGCUGACAUAAGUAACGAUAAUGCGGGUGAAAAACCCGCACGCCGGAAGACCAAGGGUUCCUGUCCAACGUUAAUCGGGGCAGGGUGAGUCGACCCCUAAGGCGAGGCUGAAAAGCGUAGUCGAUGGGAAACAGGUUAAUAUUCCUGUACUUGGUGUUACUGCGAAGGGGGGACGGAGAAGGCUAGGCUAGCCGGGCGACGGUUGUCCCGGUUUAAGCAUGUAGGCGGAGUGACUUGGUAAAUCCGGUUGCUUAUCAACGCUGAGGUGUGAUGACGAGCCACUACGGUGGUGAAGUAGUUGAUGCCAAGCUUCCAGGAAAAGCCUCUAAGCAUCAGGUAACAUUAAAUCGUACCCCAAACCGACACAGGUGGUCAGGUAGAGAAUACUCAGGCGCUUGAGAGAACUCGGGUGAAGGAACUAGGCAAAAUGGUGCCGUAACUUCGGGAGAAGGCACGCUGGCAUUAGGUAAAGGGACUUGCUCCCGGAGCUGAAGCCAGUCGCAGAUACCAGCUGGCUGCAACUGUUUAAUAAAAACACAGCACUGUGCAAACACGAAAGUGGACGUAUACGGUGUGACGCCUGCCCGGUGCUGGAAGGUUAAUUGAUGGGGUCAGCCGCAAGGCGAAGCUCUUGAUCGAAGCCCCAGUAAACGGCGGCCGUAACUAUAACGGUCCUAAGGUAGCGAAAUUCCUUGUCGGGUAAGUUCCGACCUGCACGAAUGGCGUAAUGAUGGCCAGGCUGUCUCCACCCGAGACUCAGUGAAAUUGAACUCGCUGUGAAGAUGCAGUGUACCCGCGGCAAGACGGAAAGACCCCGUGAACCUUUACUAUAGCUUGACACUGAACAUUGAGCCUUGAUGUGUAGGAUAGGUGGGAGGCAUUGAAGUGUGGACGCCAGUCUGCAUGGAGCCAACCUUGAAAUACCACCCUUUAAUGUUUGAUGUUCUAACUCGGCCCCAUAAUCUGGGGUGAGGACAGUGUCUGGUGGGUAGUUUGACUGGGGCGGUCUCCUCCCAAAGAGUAACGGAGGAGCACGAAGGUUAGCUAAUCACGGUCGGACAUCGUGAGGUUAGUGCAAAGGCAUAAGCUAGCUUGACUGCGAGAGUGACGGCUCGAGCAGGUACGAAAGUAGGUCUUAGUGAUCCGGUGGUUCUGAAUGGAAGGGCCAUCGCUCAACGGAUAAAAGGUACUCCGGGGAUAACAGGCUGAUACCGCCCAAGAGUUCAUAUCGACGGCGGUGUUUGGCACCUCGAUGUCGGCUCAUCACAUCCUGGGGCUGAAGUAGGUCCCAAGGGUAUGGCUGUUCGCCAUUUAAAGUGGUACGCGAGCUGGGUUUAGAACGUCGUGAGACAGUUCGGUCCCUAUCUGCCGUGGGCGUUGGAAGAUUGAGAGGGGCUGCUCCUAGUACGAGAGGACCGGAGUGGACGAAUCACUGGUGUUCGGGUUGUCAUGCCAAUGGCAUUGCCCGGUAGCUAAAUUCGGAAGAGAUAACCGCUGAAAGCAUCUAAGCGGGAAACUUGCCUCGAGAUGAGUCUUCCCUGGGGCUUUAAGUCCCCUGAAGGAACGUUAAAGACUAUGACGUUGAUAGGCUGGGUGUGUAAGUGCAGCGAUGCAUUGAGCUAACCAGUACUAAUGAUCCGUGAGGCUUAACCUU
This 2905-nucleotide ribosomal RNA is filed under the name Yersinia enterocolitica. Its description in RNAcentral is "23S ribosomal RNA". It matches the Rfam family "Bacterial large subunit ribosomal RNA". Lineage: Bacteria; Pseudomonadati; Pseudomonadota; Gammaproteobacteria; Enterobacterales; Yersiniaceae. The record is from RNAcentral.